GGCUCAGAUUGAACGCUGGCGGCAUGCCUUACACAUGCAAGUCGAACGGCAGCACGGACUUCGGGUCUGGUGGCGAGUGGCGAACGGGUGAGUAAUGCAUCGGAACGUGCCAUUGAGUGGGGGAUAACGUAGCGAAAGUUGCGCUAAUACCGCAUAUUCUGUGAGCAGGAAAGCAGGGGACCGCAAGGCCUUGCGCUCUUUGAGCGGCCGAUGUCAGAUUAGCUAGUUGGUGAGGUAAAGGCUUACCAAGGCGACGAUCUGUAGCGGGUCUGAGAGGAUGAUCCACCACACUGGAACUGAGACACGGUCCAGACUCCUACGGGAGGCAGCAGUGGGGAAUUUUGGACAAUGGGGGCAACCCUGAUCCAGCCAUGCCGCGUGAGUGAAGAAGGCCUUCGGGUUGUAAAGCUCUUUCGGCCGGGAAGAAAUCGCAUGGGCCAAUACCCUGUGUGGAUGACGGUACCGGAAUAAGAAGCACCGGCUAACUACGUG
RNAcentral lists this ribosomal RNA (492 nucleotides) under uncultured bacterium. RNAcentral's name for it is "bacterial SSU rRNA". It matches the Rfam family "Bacterial small subunit ribosomal RNA", at positions 21 to 507 of the family's 1533-position model. The record is from RNAcentral.